This 2124-nucleotide long non-coding RNA is filed under the name Lathyrus oleraceus (garden pea). Its description in RNAcentral is "Pisum sativum (pea) long non-coding RNA (PSAT_LNC008706)". The stretch from base 178 to 251 matches the Rfam family "tRNA". Lineage: Eukaryota; Viridiplantae; Streptophyta; Magnoliopsida; Fabales; Fabaceae. The record is from RNAcentral.
UUACUUAAAACCAUAUGAACUAUCAUUAAAAUUGAUAUAAUAAUAAACUUUCAUCAGUCAAACAAUUGAAACAUUCACAUUUAUAACUACAUGUAAAUGGAAUAACAACUAAUCAAUAAAAUACAAUUACAAAUACUUUUAUUAAAACCAUUUAAAAUGUUUCAAUGAAACAUAGGUGGUUUCGUGGUGUAGUUGGUUAUCACGUCAGUCUAACACACUGAAGGUCCCCAGUUCGAGCCUGGGCGAAGCCAAAUGGUGUUAACUCUAAUUUAAAUUUUAAUGCUUACCACUAUAUUUUUGUAAAUUUUACAAUGCAUCAACAUUAAUUUCAAAAGUUAAUUUACAAUUUUGUGAAUCAACUAAAUAAAAUUUAUUUUCUUCAAUGAGCCAAAGAGACAUGUCGUAAGAGAGAAUAUAGCUACAUUACAUAUUAUUUAAAAAUGACUAGGAUGAAGAACGAAGUUGAUUAAGCACUUUGAAGACUAUAGACACAUUGCGAUCAAAACCGUACCAGACAGGCCGCUAUGACUAGUUGAAGAGAAAACGGAACAGUGUCAUGUCCAAUUAAACAUAAUAACCUAUAAAACAAAACCAUAAAAAUCGAUUGCGAACCGCUGAAAUCGAAAAAAAUCAGCGUUUCAGAAGGUUCAUAGUCUGGGAUAUAGAAUAAAUCAUCUUUUCAAGUCUUAUAGAGAGACUGACUCGUCUUUUUAUCUUGAUGAGUGUGGAAGUAAAGGAUAAAAUACUUUAACUGGGUGAUUGCCAAAUGUGGGAGGCAAGAAAAAGAAUAGAAGUUGUUGAAAAGAGAAUAAGUUACCAAACAAUACAAAUCUAUGUUAUCUUUGGUGGAGGCCGAGUAAAUGGAGUAUAGAAUAUUGUUUUCAAUUUAUUAUAGUUGAAGUGGAAUUUAAUGGAUAGUCCCAUACUACCUUUUUUUUAUGUUCACAUUAAAAAAAAUCGUUAUUUAUUUGUGUUAUGAUUAUGUAGUAGUUUAAAGUGUCAUAAAAUUCUUUUUCCAAACUAAAACUUCGUAUUGUGAAUUAAGAGAUUAUGACUAAGUCCUAUGAAUAAUCUUUCUAUUAAAAACAAUUUAAGAUCAAAUACCAAAUUUAUUCCUUGUGUUUAUUUACAAAUUCAAUACUCACUCGUGUAGUACUACCAUAUUUGUAUAAAAUAUGGAAAUUUUAUUUCUUUGGUAAUAAAACAAAUAAAUAUAUCUUAUAUUAAAUUAAAAUUGUCAAAUGAAUUGUUUCCGAUUCGACAUUGGCUCGACUCUAGCCAAAACUUAAAACCUUACACUCUUAUCUACACCAAUUUAUUGUUUGGUUCAGUUUUAACUAUUGUUAUAUAUACAAUGAAUUAGGUAGCAAAAUCCAAAAGUGUUCAACCCAUAAUUAGGUCUCAUACCAUAAUUGACUCUCACAACACUCCUAUUUAAAUAUGUGAUUAAAUUCACUGUUAACUACUUUACUUAACUAGAAUUCAUUUAAAUUCUCAACAUUAUCUAUUACUUAUUUUCUGAACAUAACCCCUAAUUCUUAUUUUCUUUCUUUUCUGAAAUCUAUUUUAUAUAAAUAUACUACUCCAUCAUUCUAAUUUAAAAUUGUCUUUAAUGAUAUUGACAUAUUUCUUAUAUUAAUAGUUAGUUUUGUUGACUUCCAAUAUAAAAUCAAUAUUAUUUAAUAAUAUAUUUUUAAUAAUAGAGGUCAGAGGAAUGCAUAUGUGGGUAAAGGUUUAAAAAAUAAUGGUAACUUUGGGGGGGAAAAUAAUAAUAAAUUUUUCUUUGGUAUUUUUAAUGGACAAAUGAUUUUAAUCAAAUUUUUGUUUUUUCAAAACUGACACAUAUUAUGAGUCUUAUGGAUUAAUUAAUUCUCUUUCGCGAAAGGUCGUGUUACUUAAAACCAUAUGAACUACCAUUAAAAUUGAUAUAAUAAUAAACUUUCAUCAGUCAAACAAUUAAAACAUACACAUUUAUAACUACAGGUAAAUGUAAUAACAAUUAAUCAUCAAAUUACAAAUACAAAUACUUUAAUUAAAACAACUUAAAAUGUUUCAAUCAAAUAUAGGUGGUUUCGUGGUGUAGUUGGUUAUCACGUCGGUCUAACACACUGAAGGUCCCCAAUU